AACAAGGAAGAGUUUAUGAAAUUCGGGUAUGAGGGACGGUGUUGGACUACAGCUCCCGGCAUGCUAUGCGGGCGGACUGCAGCUCCCGGCAUGCGCUGCGGCCGUACCAUAGCGCCCAGCAUGCCCCGCGAUUGCAAGAUGGCGGCGCCCAGGGGCGUCUCGGGCCCGGACAGCGACACCGGCUCGGGCUCGGACUCGGACUCGGAGAGCGGCGGCGAAGCGGCCGCGCGGUUCCGGGAGGCUGCCUGGGACUGCACCGCGCUGGCGGCGGCGCAGGCAGAGCCGUGCGGCGGGGGCUUUAGAAAGGAUCGGUUGCAGCCUAAAGAUCAGCCAAGCUUGAGGCGUGAGGCAAUCGGCCGUGAGGAGGGUGACAAUGAGCUCCAGACAACUCCAGAGUUCAGAGCACACGUUGCAAAGAAACUGGGAACCAUGCUAGACAGUGUCAUCACUGUCUUGAAGGAUCCAUCAGGACCAUCACAGACUUGGUUGGCACAGUCAGACUCUGAAGAUGAUGGUUUUCGCCUCUUUUCUUCCUCUGUCCCUGGAGACUGUGGGAAACCAGAGCCUUGCCCUGCAGCGAGGAGGAGGAGGCCAGUUAGCUCCAGUGACACAGACAGUGAGCAAGAGUGGCAAAGGUGCCAGGAGGCUGCCAUGUCAGCUGCAGAUAUUCUGAAGCAAAGUGCUUUCCCUGUAUGGUCCCAGGGCUCCAGCCAGGAUCAGAGUGAGAGUUAUGUAGAACCCAACCAGAAAAAGAAGAAGAAGAAGAAGAAAAUGAGGACAGACAAUAAUAUUCAAGAGAAAAUAAUAGACCCAGCAGAGUGUGACCAGAUCUGCAAAGAUUUGCCUCGGUUGGUGUCUGCAAAUGGCCAGCAGGAGAGACAGAACAGCCAUCACAGAGAGAACUCUGUGCUGCCAGGAGCUGUGAAGAAGAAAAAGAAGAAGAAAAAAGAAUGAUGAUUUUGCUCUGCAAACAGCAGGUGGUUGUGAUGGGUGAAGGAAACUGAAAGAAAACCUAACAACAAGAGUUGCUGCAGAUGAGGGAAAAUUAAUUGGCAAAGCAUCUGUUCUAAAAGCUCAGUGGCCUGAGAGACUAAUUAAGUGACUUCCUGUGCUACUGGCGUCCCUGAGGAAGGGAACAUUGUUCUCACACAGCAGUUGGCUGUGCUGCUGCUUGUGCAGGCCCCAUCUAAAAGGAUUAAAUACUGUGCCAGACUUGAAUGGCAGAGGGAUGUGAUCAUAGCUGCAUUCCUCCUGGUCUGUUCCUUCACAUCAUGAAACCCUUCUGGAGAAAGUGUAUGAUGAAUUGAAUUUGGUUUACAUGGCAACAGAUGAAAAGCUGUAAGGAGUCUUUAGUAAGAAUAAGCACCAAGAGGUUAAACAGUGGGACAAACCACCUUGAUAUCAGUUUUAGAAUACUGACAUAGAAGAUUCUCAGGACCUCGUGAAAGACUUAUUUUUUUCACCAAGAGACCAGAAAGCCAGCAAAGUGGGAGAAGCCUUCAUUUCCCUGAGGUGGGUUCUGAAUUGCUGCUUUGGACCAGACCCUGCUCAAGCAGAGGUUCAGAGCUGGGAAGUGCUCAGGACCAUCCCCAGCCCUUUCCUCUGGAGCUGCUCCACAACUCAGUGCCCAGCCUGGAGCCAGGCUGGGCAGAGGGAAGAUCUGGUCUGUGCCCAGAGCACCACGUCCCCUCCCUGCAGGGCGUUAACAAAGCUCUAAUGGAUACUGACGACUUUGUGUGCCUAAAACGAAUGAGAAUUCCGACCCAUGUGAAACCAUUUAUUUGAAGAAAUGUUCAUGUGAACAUUAAUGUAAAGACAACUUCAGCUUCUAAGGAUUUUUUUUUUUUUGGGUCAUACUCAAUAAAGAGUUGUGCUGGUUUUGCACCCAUCACAAGAGUAUUUAAAGAAUGCUGAGCGUAUUUGGCAUUGUACUGUCAGUGUGUUGAUGCAAUUUCCAUGUAUUUUAUUUGUUAUUACAGUUUUCCUUCAUUCCUGCCCCUCAGGUAGACAUGACAACAUUACCAGCUGAUAACAGUAAUUUUAAAUUGUAAUUACAGUAUCCAACCAUGACAUACAGUUUCUGCAUGAUAUGUCCUUACAAUUCAAGGAUUUUGCAAACAGACACAGCAGAUUGUGGAGUUCUUGCAAUAUGUGACAGAGGAGAUGCUGUCAUUCUGUGUUACUUAUUUCUGCCUCUCUGUGGCAUGGUGAUCUCUUUUACAUAAACCAAGGUGGAAAAUAUUACCACUGUUCUUAAAAUUGGCCAUAUUGUGUUGGUGUAUAAAACCUAUUGAAUGUCUGAGGGGUGAUGGGGAACACAGAUCAUUAAUUUUAAAUAAAGAACAGCAAUAUUUGUCAAUAGAAGCUGUAAAGAGAAGAAAGCAUAGCAAGAAAUUAGGUCUAUAUUAUGUGGUUUCAAGGAUUCCUUGUGCACCCAGAAGUCCUGAUGCUGCUGCUUCUGCUUGUCUUGAGUAACUUAAGCUCUAGAAGCUUUUUUUUGAGACCAGUGAACUUUGAAGUCUAUAAAACCAGAAAUGCACAUCUGUUUGUAUGAUGGGACCUCCCUGAAUGCUACAACUGGAUGCCAUGUGGACAACGCUUAGCUGAACAAGGAAACAUUUCAAAUACUGAAGAGGUGGUAAAUAUUCUGUAUCACUUUAUCCUGAAAGGAUUUUUCUCUUGGUCUAUUGGGAUUGUCCAUUUUAAACUGUAGGACAAUUAGCAAAAAACCAAAUAAACUUACCCACUUUCAUUUUUCCAUUCAUUGGAACCUGCCAGGCUGUGCCAGUGAAUGGCUCUGCCCCACUGUUUCAGAUCCUCAAUGCAGGAAAACCAGUGAGCUUUUCAGUGUUUCUUAAAUGGCAGAAAUAGCUAGGGGUCAGACUGAAAGGGAUUCCUGUUGUGAAUUAGCCAGCAUCCCUAUUUUAUAGCCUGGCACUAAAGAUUGCAAUAUCAUAUUUCUCAGAUUAUUACAAGUGCAGUUUUGAGUUGAUGAGAGAAUGGCAGAGGUCAAGGGUGGAAACUAGAUUAUAGUUCUGUUGGAGGAGGAGCUCAGUUGCAGAGUGCCAUAAUCAAUGUUCUCCUGAAACGGAAUUGUACUCAGGGAUUAUGCCUUGAGGAUGAAUAUUUGAAAUAAGGGGACUUGUGUUUCCUAUACCCAUUUUUAUCUAUUAUCAGUGCUUACUCUAUGUUGAUUUCCUUAAUUGUAACCACUUCCUAGGUCAUGACUUGAUUCUCAGGUCACUCUGAUUAAUAUUAUCUCGGUCCUUGUAACAGGGGAAACUUAAAGUUUGAAGACACCAAGAGAUACCUGCUUGUUUUUCUCAUGUUUACAGUAUUUGCUUUUGUAUUAACUGUUCCAAAGUAAUCUCUUCUUCUCCCCUGUAUCUAAUAAAGUGAGUGAAUUACUUAACACUGAAAA
Taeniopygia guttata (zebra finch) is the source of this 3421-nucleotide non-coding RNA. NCBI's taxonomy places the organism in Eukaryota, Metazoa, Chordata, Aves, Passeriformes, Estrildidae. The record is from RefSeq and is a predicted model, not a curated record.